This is a long non-coding RNA of Lactuca sativa (garden lettuce), 530 nucleotides long. RefSeq lists it as uncharacterized. NCBI's taxonomy places the organism in Eukaryota, Viridiplantae, Streptophyta, Magnoliopsida, Asterales, Asteraceae. The record is from RefSeq and is a predicted model, not a curated record.
UCUAUUAAUAACUUCGGUUAUCUCACCCCUGCUACUCCAAACCAAAAUCGAUUUAUCCUCUUUAGUUCAACAGGGAAACAACAACGUGGUCGGAUCGUUGGUGGUAUAUCUACUUAUGGACUUAGUUUAAUCCCUCCGUUCCUUGUCAAUGUUUCCUCCACCGCCUCUCCCUGUUUGCUCUACCUUCGAAAAAAAGGAGGGCAGCCGUCGUGACGGUGCCGACCACCGGAAAGUGCAAACGAACUCGAUUAGGGCAUAAUGCAAUCAUUCAUGAUGCCAAAGGUAAAAUCGUCUUCUCACAUCAUGUUUAUACGGACUCGGAACCAUCGAUUCGUUUGUGAGGUGCUACCUCAGCCAAAGAAUGCAUUGGGGAAACGGUACAACAAGUUAUUUCAGAUGAAUCAACUAAGUUAACCUACACUAUACAGAAAGUGCUUUGAGAUUAAUUGCAAGAAAAGCAAUAACUAAGAACACUGGGGCCGUGGUCUGAGGGCGUUAUUGGAAAACAUAUUGAUGGAUGCCAUGUAUGA